RNAcentral lists this long non-coding RNA (4367 nucleotides) under Capsella grandiflora. Its description in RNAcentral is "long non-coding RNA (CGRA_LNC001383)". Lineage: Eukaryota; Viridiplantae; Streptophyta; Magnoliopsida; Brassicales; Brassicaceae. The record is from RNAcentral.
UAAAGCAAUUGGAGACGAUGUAAUAGGAUGUGUACAGUUAUUAGCUAUAGAGAUAGAAAAACAAGUUAAAAAUUUUCAGAAGAAGAAACGAAAAAGUCUUUUGUUUUGUCUAGUGGAAGCUCUAUCUUCUUCUUUUUUUAUCCCGGAAGUCUGGGUGUAUCCACGUCGUCACCUGUAAAGCAAAUGGUAAAAAAAAAUAAAACUGAAUAAACUCCUUCUGCACGGCUCCGAAACAGCACACGAGAGGCGGAUCGUCGUAAGGAAACUCGAUCCCGAUCGUCGUAAUCCUCUAACUCCGGAUUCAAUUCAGGACCAGUCUCGAUAGUACCCUUCUCGAUGUCAUGUUUCUCAAUCACUGUCGAGGAUUGCUUCUUCUUCCUUCCUUUGCGACUAGGUUUAGCUGCGGUUUCCGCUGCUGCUCCGAUUGUGAUUCCGCCAUUAAUUGAAGCUCUCGGGGAGAGGAAUUGCCUUGGUUUUGGUGAAUUUCGAGCUACCACAAUCUCUCUACGAUCUAGCGAAGAAUCAAAAAGGUGAAGGUGAGGAAAAAGAAGAAGUGAAGCGCCAUUGGGAGGGUUUUUUACUUCGAUGUCAGGGUUUAUCCAAAUCUUCCUCUUUUGAAUCAUAUCGGGUCCUGACCCGACUUCUAUUCUAAUCGGGUCAACCCAUGAAAACCCGGUUCCGGUUAUUUUCCUUUUUUUUUUUCUUACGGCUGAAGAAUCAGUUUAGAUUUUAGAAGGAGAAACAAAUAAAACCCUCCACAAAGAUCUCACCGACGAUUUGAUUUCGCUCGUUCUCAGGCCAUCCUCACCGCCGGAACAAUUUUUAUAAGGUAAUCUCGCACUCGAUUCAGCUCCAGGAUUUCUAGUUUUAUUGUUCUUCACUGAGUUGCUUAGAUUUGGAGUUCUCGUUUCCGUGUGGGAAUAGAUCGAUCGGUUUGGCUGCUUCUUCUAUUAGCAGCUUUGGAUCUUCAAUUACUGUCUCGAUCUUGGUUUAUAAUUCCUGCGUAAUUUGUUACACCAGUAUGCUGUAAAGUGAUUUCUUCUGCUUAUAUAUAUAUGCCUUAUUGACAUUGUUCUGCGUUAAUUUGGAUUUCUAUUCUCUGUUUUCUACCACAAGCUUAGCUUAAUCUGUAGACAUUGUCUCUAUUAAUGGGGUCGUCUUGUUUGAUACCUAGCAACUAUAGACUGUUUCUUCGCUUGUGAUGGAACUUUGUUAUCUUACUGCUGAGCUUAGGAUUCGUGAUUUUUUUUUUUUAAAACUCUCAUGAUGCUGUGAUUUUCUAAUUGACUGAAGUUUACUGCUCUGAAUCAACUUGGUAAGAAAAUCUCAUCUAGUGAUCAGUGGUUCAUUUAGCUUGGUGUUUUUCUUGAGCUGCUUUUGACCCUUGCAAAACUUCUGUUACGUGAUUUUUUUAAUCCUGAGAAGAGUCUAUACAUUAUGCCUAGGUUAAAGCCUUUUUGAAAUGCUAGCUCAGUGACUGUCCUGCCAUUAUAUAAGAUUAUAGAUAUUAUUGCAAGGCCGGAACAAGUUCAAUUCUUUAUAAAAAACCAUUAAUGUCAUGUCCCUGUUUUUGAAGCAAAGAUGAGAAUUCAUCUAGGUAACCAAUCUUGAUCUUCUCCGUACUGACGUAUUCCACGUAUCUGGAGGCGUUAGAAGAGUCAGUUUUCAAAGCGUGAUGGAGAUGACCGAUCAGAACCACGCUAGGGGUAUAUGCUUCGUGGUUUAUCUCACGCAGAGAAGUGGGAACCAUGUGAAUACAACAAUAAUUUAUAUGAGAUGGAAGCUUCCACUGGCGGGUAUUGUCAAGCUGCUGACAUUUAACUGAUCUGGUGAGGAGCGUAUAUGUAUUCUCACUCGGUAUAAAAGACGAUGAACCAGUCAUUAAAGAAGACAUCAAAAGCAUGCCUUGCGCAGAUCUGUUAUGGAGCGGGGGAGUAAAGUUUCAGGCAGUACAAGAAAGUAUGUCCAUCAAAGUGAGAUUUGAAAACAACAUCUUGAUGAUUCCCAUCCUAUGUGUGGAUGAUCAAUUUGAGGUGACUUUUCGAAACUUGGUUGCACUAGAGCAGUGCUCUUACGCUCAUGAGCCUUACGUGUAUAGCUAUUUAGCGUUUAUUGACUUUCUCACUGACAAAGACACUAAUUUGCUGGCUGAAAGAGGUAACCUUCUUUAUUCUUUAGAUUGUUCUUGUAUGCGGCUAAUUGUGUAUGGCAUGUAUUGAAUUUUGGUGUUCUUUUUUGUUUUGUAAGGUAUUAUCACCAACUGGGUUGGGAAGACAAGUUUGGUGGCAGAGACGGUGAACGAGUUACGACGCAGCGUCUAUGUGGAUUCAGCUUCAUGGUAUUCAGGCAUUGCUAAUCGAUUGAAUGCUUACCACAAGAAGUACUACAACAAAACUUUGGUAAUUGGAAACGUAAUUACUUUGGUAAUUUGUCGACCGAGACAGCCAUGGUUGCAGCUAUUGUUCUAUUGAUUUUAACAGCCGCUCAGACGUAGUUCUCAUUUUACCAAAUGAAACAGUCGAAUCAUGAUGGCCAAGUCCAACCCAAACAUGGCUAGCUACAAUGCGAGAACUAGUAUCAAGUACAGCGAGCUUAGGCACAUGGAUCUGUGAUUUGGCUAGUACUUAGUCCUAGUUUCUAUUUCCAUCCUUACAAACUUCAUUCGUAUGUGUAACAGUGGGAGAUUGGUUUUUGCCCUUUUGCUCUUCAUUCUGCUUUUGUCAUUUUCCAUCCCAUGAAACUUGUUUGUAUUUCUCUGAUACUGGGAGUUUGGUUUUGUUUCUUUGUGUUGCGUUUGUUUAAAAACUAUGUUUAUUUGGUUUCAGUUUUUGUCUCUUUUCUUUUGCCCUUCAUUCUCUUUAUUAACUAUAUCAUACUAACAAAAGUUUAAGUUUUGGUAUCAUUGUUUGGUGUUUGCAUGUGUCAAGCUUCUUAUCAUAUAUAUAGAUAAUAAUGCACUAGUAUGAAGUAAUGCCAAAACAACUUAGUACAUUAUUACUUAUCUACGUGAUAGGGGAGUCGAUUAUAAUGUUUCACACCUGUGCAAUUGAAUUCCUCACCACUUUGCUUCAACAACACAAAAGACCCUAUUCAUGUACAUAAGGACUUUAGAACAGUCAAUUUCUGCGUUAACAAAUAGAAUUUUGUUCAACUCGGGUUUAAUAGAAAUAUUCUAGGGCUUGCCACGAUCCUUAUGGGCACUCCUAGAAUAUUGAUAUACAAUUGUAAACUUUGAAGCCACAAAAAUAAGGGUGGUUUCAUUCUCUUAGAUCUACAGGGGUGUUAGAAGAGAGUAGGCUUUGAUUUGAUUUUUAGUCGGGUACAAUCUUAUUAAGAGAGAUAUGUUGACUAAGAGCCGAGACAAAAUUGUAUCCUUGUAAAAGAUAAAUUUUGUUUAUAAGAUUAAAUAGAAAAGCGUUGUCUUGGCGCGUUCCAAGAGAAAAUUAGUGUGUUAUGUGUUUCUGUACUUUAACACAUUGAUUUUCAUAUAUCAUUUUACAAUAUUACCUAAUUGAGAGUUCUAAGACGGUCAUUUAUUAUUAAACUUGUGGUGUGAUAAUCUCUACUCAAUACUCAAUAGUAUCAUUAGAAUACUUGGUAUGAUUGAAAAUAGGGUAUUUUUUUUUUUUUUUGGUGAUAAUUAAUGUAUUGUGUAAACAGAGGAGGAUAGGACGACCAAAGCUUCUUAAUUACUUGAUGUUAUUUAAAGUCUUUUCUUUUGUCUAGUGGAAGCUCUAGACCAAAAAAAAAUUCAAAAGAAGAAACGAAAAAGUCUUUUCUUUUGUCGAGUGGAAGCUCUAUCUUCUUUUUUUUUUUAUCCCGGAAGUCUGGGUGUAUCCACGUCGUCACCUGUAAAGCAAAUGGAAAAAAAUUAAAACUGAAAAGCAAAAAAAAAAGGGUUCCAUAAGUGAUAUAUAUAUAUAUAGACAUCUACAAAAGGAAAAACGUUGUCUGUUGAAUGUUUACUCUAUAUUACAUGUUGAGCCUGAGCACUAUUCGGAAACCAGUGUGGCUCCAUCUGUCAGAUAAUGUAUGUGCUUCAAUCUCUUUUUCCGGGAAGUCUGGGUUUCUCCACGACAUUUUCUGCAAAGCAAAGAGAAUAUCUAGUGAAACAAUAAUAAACCUAAAUCAACUUUAGUGAUCAUAUAUAUAUAUAUAUAGGUACAAAAAAAUGCUGCAUCGCGCGAGGUUGAUUGUUUUACAUUUAGGUACGAUGUGCACUGCAUCAUAAGAAUGUUGUUGGCCGCAGCUCUAUCAAGGCUGGCUUUAUCCUGCUUUCCUUGUAUAUUACCCUCGACCUUGAGUGUUGCUAAAUCCUCUCUUUCAUAAAAACCUCUGACCAUAUGAAACUGUCGUCGUUUCACAUG